RNAcentral lists this ribosomal RNA (245 nucleotides) under uncultured bacterium. RNAcentral's name for it is "partial 16S ribosomal RNA". It matches the Rfam family "Bacterial small subunit ribosomal RNA", at positions 524 to 768 of the family's 1533-position model. The record is from RNAcentral.
UACGAAGGGGGCUAGCGUUGCUCGGAAUUACUGGGCGUAAAGGGCGCGUAGGCGGCCGAUCAAGUCAGGCGUGAAAUUCCAGGGCUUAACCUUGGGGCUGCGCUUGAUACUGAUUGGCUUGAGGAUGGAAGAGGGUCGUGGAAUUCCCAGUGUAGAGGUGAAAUUCGUAGAUAUUGGGAAGAACACCGGUGGCGAAGGCGGCGACCUGGUCCAUUACUGACGCUGAGGCGCGACAGCGUGGGGAG